UAAUGUCUGGGAAACUGCCUGAUGGAAGGGGGAUAACUACUGGAAACGGUAGCUAAUACCGCAUAACGUCGCAAGACCAAAGAGGGGGACCUUCGGGCCUCUUGCCAUCGGAUGUGCCCAGAUGGGAUUAGCUAGUAGGUGGGGUAAUGGCUCACCUAGGCGACGAUCCCUAGCUGGUCUGAGAGGAUGACCAGCCACACUGGAACUGAGACACGGUCCAGACUCCUACGGGAGGCAGCANUGGGGAAUAUUGCACAAUGGGCGCAAGCCUGAUGCAGCCAUGCCGCGUGUGUGAAGAA
This 299-nucleotide ribosomal RNA is filed under the name uncultured Serratia sp. RNAcentral's name for it is "partial 16S ribosomal RNA". It matches the Rfam family "Bacterial small subunit ribosomal RNA", at positions 111 to 412 of the family's 1533-position model. Lineage: Bacteria; Pseudomonadati; Pseudomonadota; Gammaproteobacteria; Enterobacterales; Yersiniaceae. The record is from RNAcentral.